GGAAAGGUCGCCUAGUGGUUUGAAUAUUGGACUCUGGUUCUGGAGACCAGGGUUCAAGUCCCUGCUCAGCCC
Non-coding RNA from Phrynosoma platyrhinos (Desert horned lizard), 72 nucleotides. The record is from the annotation of a GenBank genome assembly. NCBI's taxonomy places the organism in Eukaryota, Metazoa, Chordata, Lepidosauria, Squamata, Phrynosomatidae.